UUAGCAGCUAAGGCAGUUUGUGACAAGGGUGCUUUUGUGUUCCCAGUCCUUGGAUCUUGUUAGGGACACCCACUGGGGUCUCCCUGUUCAAUGCUGACACAAGAUGGAUGGCAGCAAGUCAAGAUCCCUGAAAGGAGGCUGUGGUGAGGUGGGGUGUUGGCCUCUUCUCUCAGAUAACUGUAAUAGGACAAGAGAAUCGUGAAGAUGAAAAUGGGGAAGGCCUGGCCGCACGAGAGCCGCACGUGGGCCUCCCGCCCUGCCUGCGCCAAGGGCCGCUCGCUGGACCUGGCAGCACUCCUGGAUGGGCUUCUUCCAACAAGCUCCUCUGCAGCACCCGCUGCCACGGCCAAAUUCAGGCUUUAUUUCCUCCAUGGACUUUCACUACUUCUUGGGCUUCCCUCAUAGCCCUCUUCCUUCCUCUGAUGUUGCGUCUAGGAGGUUGGGUUCCCGCUGCUAUGCUUCUCCACUCCCUUCUUUAGAGAUGCCAUCCUCAGAUGCCGCUUCUUCAAGCCUGGCUUUUCUUUCAUUCUUCCCACACUGUACUGGGCUCUGGGUUGUGUGGAGAAAGGAAACAUUUGCCUCUGGAGACCCAGUCACUGCUGGGCAGCUCAGGGGAAAUGUCUGUGGAUGAAAACCUGGUGUCAGCAGUUGUGGCUUGGAGUGGGUUGCAGCAUCUACCUGAGCUGGCUUGGCAGCCCAGAAGUUUUACAUAAUCGUGUUUUAAGACGUUUUUAAGUGCAGAAUGACAUUUUGAGGCUGGACCAGAAGCGAUAAAGGCAAUGACAAAAAUAAUGAGUGCAUUAAGGUGACCAGAUUAUGCAUUCGUGUGUGGGGAAAAAUAAGCAGAAGGUCAUGCAAAAAUGUGAUUCUCCCAUGUCGCUCAGCAGCUCAGUCCUCACUGCCAGCAGAAGCUGCCUUAUUGCAAGCAGCACAGCUGCCAGCACAAGGAGACCUGGGAAGCAAAGCCAACAGGUGCUCACUUCAAGGAGUUGCAUGUUCACCAACUGAGGAGAAUUGUAAUGUGCUGCUAAAUAACCUCAAAGCAGGUUUGCUGAGUGUAAUGUGUCUCUUCUAUCUUCUGUCUCCUUUCACAUCAUGGGCACUGUGCACUUGUUGGAGGGAAAUGCCACCUGUGGCUCUGCCUGUCCUCGAACAGGCCAAUAGUCAGUCCCACCUGCAUCCAAUCCCCAUGCAUGGGACCUCCUAAAGCUAUGACUGGGCUCCAUCUGUGUGCACACGUGCUGCACUUAACCCGUCCUUUGGCAAUGUCACUGACAUCAGCCCAAUUACACCAGCCAUGAAUUGGACCCUGUUUACACUCUGAAACUUCCAUAGCUUACAGCCAAAGUUCAGACUGUUAUACAAUGAAACCAUUCACACGUCUCAUUAACUCUGCACUAUGCACUGAAAAUAACCAUGCCACGUGAUUCUGUGAUUUUCUCAGUUUAUAUCAUUUAUAAGUGCUUUUUCCUCUUCAUAACAGCAACUCUCAAUAUUGGAAACAUUUUAGGCUGUCGAUGUAGCAAAAGUGCUUUGUAGAGCACAAAACAGUAACUUCUUGGUGUUGUAUUAAUUGUCUUCGUCUUAAAUAAUACAAUCCAUGAAGGUAUUUUAAACCCAAGCUCAAAGACGUAGGCAUGUGGCCAACUGCUCUGAGACACCAGUGCGCCCGUGGUUGUAUAUUUUAUACUUUUUGAACUUUAUUUUUAUUCAUUUCUAAUUUAUAGUGGCAGUAAAGCACAAUCCAAGUUUCUGAGUAAGCAAAGUGUACAAGCACUUGGAAUUUAAUAAGGUUAUACUGUUGCCUACACAUGGGAAGACACAAGAGUCUUCUGCUCAUAUGAUUUAUAUUACUGUAUUUUCUCUGCUGAGUGCCAGCAACGAGCCUUGUGUUGUACAUGACUGUGCUCUUGUAUAAAGGUUUGUAUAACAGAUCCAGCACAUGAAUAUCUGGAAAUCACAAAGCGCUUGCAAAGUAAAGCACAUGUUUCCAGCCUUGAGAGGCACAAUAGAGGGAUUGCUGCAGAGAUGGCUCUGGGGGGUUGGUUUUGGUUUGUGCUGCAGGGAAGAAGAAAUGGUGGAUGCUAGAGCUCAAAACCUAUUCCAAAAGAGGCAGAGGUAUAAUAAGUCCCACAAAACAAAGCAGAGAGAUGGGCUGGGCCAGGAUAAAGAAACAAAUGAGCUGCCAAGGCUGGUAUUAACAAUGGAGUGUAGCACAGAGAAAUGUGGACGAGCAAACCUUUCACUGGGUGCUGAAAGGGAGGAUGUGAGAUGGCCACAAGUGUGUGUGAGGAAGGAUGCACAGGUGGAUGAUGCAUUUAGAGCAAUGUCAGUGUAAGCAAAGCCUUGUUGGCAAUCAUUUCAUCCAUCUGCAAAAGUAACGUGGGAAGUCAUGAAAAAGAGACUGUUGGCAGCUCAGUAUGAGAGGACAUACCUUGAAGUAGCGUCAGGUCAGAGGCAUGUUAGGGCAGAGGAUGUCUCAGGUGCUUGUGACUGUAUGGCAUGGAAGAAGGGCAUAUGUUUGAUCACAGGUUAGAUAUGUUUGGGAGAAAAAAAAAAACAGAGAGAGCUGUUCACAGAUCCUGAGCCUAGGGCAAAUAGAAAUAUUGCUAGAAGUAAGUAAAAGGAGCCUAUUUCAUAUUGCUAGAAGGAAGUAAAAAGGAAAAGGGUUUGGGAGGAAAAAUUAGAGACCUCCUGUUCAUCUGUGCUCAACUCAAAUCCCUGGCGACCCAUCCUUGAGCAAUGUGUCAGAGACAGACUGAAAGAAAGAAUGGAACAAGAGGCAGGUGGGGAAGCAGAUUUGUAAGCUGUCAUCAGCAAAACAGCAGAUACAGCUCAGAGGAGAUGGGGUGGCCUCCUCAGCAUGCAGCUUCUAUUCUCUCCAUCCAUAUCUUGCUCUGUUGCAAUGAGCAUUCAUCUUGCUAUAAGUAAGAAUAAUAACUUAAAGAGAAAGUCCCUCCUUUGGCUGCUCAUCAUUUCACCCCUCCUGAAGCUAAACUAUUUUUAUGUGACUGAUGAUUGAUUUCUUUUCGAGAAAAACAGUCCCAAAAUGUGGUGCACAAUUAUUGCUGCAGCAAAUCUUCUGGCGUUCAUUUCCCAUCAUCCAUUGACAUCCACAAUCACUCCCACUCCUUGAACAAAGAAAGGAGAUGGGCAGAUGGAGACAUUCAGCAGAAUUUAGGUCUGUUUUCAGGUCUAAAUCGUGAAGUACUUCAGUAAUGGUUUUGAUGUAUUCAAUAAAACCUGUACCUAUAUAUGUUAUGCAAGGAUCAAAGCCCUGCAAUGAGGCUACGUUGUACUUUUCCAUCUGUUUCAAAACUCCCUCACUAAGGUACAUGGCUGAAGAGGUCACCUGUGUUUGAUUUGGGAAUUAUAAAGUUUGUUCAUGAAUUAACUCGGAAGGCAAGCCUACAAACGAAACAGAGAGGGCUUGAAACAUAGGUCUGCUUGUAAAAUGCAUGUUGAAAAGCCAUUUUGAAAGACAUCCUAAAAUCUGCUCUUAUCUUGUUGCCAAGUCAUCAGUGGUUUGACCCACAUAUCAGAACUUUCCUUAAAAAAUAAUAAUUCAAAAAAACUUCAGAAGAAUCUAUUUACGCAGGAAAAGGUCUUUCAAAACAGCUGCACAGGGGCCAGGAUCAACAUCUGAACACGGGCUGAGUUGUUACAUAUUUAGAAUUAUUCCUUUCAUUAGAGGCAUGAGGGCUAUCUCAGGCAUCCUGGGGACUGAUUUGGAGUUGAGACGUCCUAAAGCAGUGACUGCCUCGCUGGGUCAAAUCCUGCUUCUGUACAUGCAAAGCUUCUAAUUCCAUCUCAUUUCCACACUUGCUGCCACUCAGGACUCUAUUAAGGUGAACCCACCAUUUCCAGUGCCACUCUGGUGUGGCUGUAGUGGCUGCACUGCUGAACUGGUAUGAUUCAGAUCUUCUGCAAGGAGAUGAAACCCACUUGGAGGACCACCAAACUUUUUUCUGUCUGAUGUUUGCCUUUCCAUUCAUGCAGUGAGCAGACACAUGGAGAAAACAGUGAUUGCUCCAACGAGAUGCCUGGGGUUGGGUGCCUUGUGUGUGCCAACUCUUGCUGAGCUCUGAGCAAUUAGGUAGCAAUGAAGCAUCAAGGUGAGGAAAAGCACAAACUAUUGGGAACAAAGAAAACAUGACCUUAAGCAGAAGGAUUGCAGAGUGAGGGCAAUGGAGGCUGGUGCCAGAGUGAACGGGAGUCUGCAGAGAAACACUUUGAGAGCGUGCAGUGGGAUUGCACUGCAGGAUGUCAGAACGAAGAAUUUUUCUUUAUUGUUUCAAAAAGGAUUUUUUUUUUUAAUGACAGAAACAUCUGGGUCAGAAAAUGUAGCAGGCUGAAAUAAAGCAUUUUGCUUCGUUUUGUUCUCUCUCCACUCAUUCGUGCACUUUCUGCGUUCCUUCCCAUGCAGGGCCUCAAUGUUAUCAAUGCACUCACAGAGAUGCUGCUGAUGUGGAAACAACGUGGAAUUACAUACAGUACUUUUGCAGAUAGAUCAUUUCAGCUGCAUCUUUCACAAAGCACAGCCAAGGAGACAGGUGUUUUAUCACUGUGUUGAGGGAGACAGAUGACCCCAAUCUAAACUUGCAUGCUCACCACUGGUGCAUCUGUCUUGUAUCUAGGCAGCAAAUCCUCACAGAGACCCUUGAGAAGGUUGAAAUAGCCUUCCCAUAAGCUCGUCUCCAUGCCCCAGGAGUGCUGAUUGCACUUUCCUUGGGAAGGGCUUUAUCUGGACCUAAGAACUCAUACUUAAUGGGCAAGUGCUUGCAGCACAUACCUUUCCCUCGGGGACCUUCCUUCAGUGUGUUUGGUUCCUGAAGGAAAGACAACCAAAACUUGCAAACACUUUGUGCCAAGGUGCAAGAAAGCAACAAGGAAGAGCACUAUGAAAGCUUUGCCAGAUGGGAAAGCUCUUCAUCACGCUCUUCACCAAGAGCUCAAGUAAAUUUUCAGCCGCGUGGGAAGAAAACUUCCCUGAUGUGAAGCAAUUGUGAACAAGGCUCCAUAAUGUGAUGCAUUGCCCGAAAUAAGAAUGCUGAGCCCUGCUUCUGAUCCUGGACAUAGCAGCAUAGAAUGGGAACAAUGUGAUCAAAGCCACAAGAACAGCAGGGCCAUCAGGAACACCUGGUAAUAUGCACUAAUGAAAUCUGGACCAAAUGGGUUUGAGACACCUCCCAUUUGCUGCUAUUUCAGUCUGUGAAGGGAUAGCCAGCUGCUAUGGAGAUGUUCCUGAAAUGCCUGCAGGAACUAUAGCCACAGUCCCUGGUGAGAGACCCUAUGGAGCGCAGUGCUGUUUGCACAGGUUUUGAAGCAUUCAAGCACAGAACAGCUUACCGUAAAGCAUCUAAUGAGAUCAAGGAUUUGCCCAUUUGCUCUCACUUAGGAAAAGCUGAU
Gallus gallus (chicken) is the source of this 5409-nucleotide long non-coding RNA. NCBI's taxonomy places the organism in Eukaryota, Metazoa, Chordata, Aves, Galliformes, Phasianidae. The record is from Ensembl.